UAAAUAAAAAAAACAUUGCAAGUUUUAGUCUUUGGCAAAAGCCCCCAAUGCAUGCUUUAAUCAGCAUUUGAUACCGUUAGUCAUUCGUUCAUGUGUUCAUUAUCCUAUAUGGUAGAUCCGUUUCCCCUUUCACCUCAUUUUCAAGGGAACUGAAGGGACGUCUUGCAGUUCUGCUUUCCUGAACUUUUCAUAGUUCACAGCCCUCUUAACAGCCAUCUUGUUUUGGAAGGAAGAAGAAAUGGAAGAGAUGCUUUGGAAGUAAAAGUUGUCAACGACAAGCCUGACAUCACACAGAUGAUACUUCAAAGGCCAGCACUUUUUACAGUAAACCAGGUACAUAUACAGUAAGUGUAUUCAUCCCAUGUUGUAUUUGCCAUAAUUACAAGAUUCCAACUUGGAAAAAGCAU
Cyprinus carpio carpio is the source of this 407-nucleotide long non-coding RNA. NCBI's taxonomy places the organism in Eukaryota, Metazoa, Chordata, Actinopteri, Cypriniformes, Cyprinidae. The record is from Ensembl.